CCUACGGGAGGCAGCAGUAGGGAAUAUUGCACAAUGGGGGAAACCCUGAAGCAGCAACGCCGCGUGGAGGAUGAAGGUUUUAGGAUUGUAAACCUCUUUUGUUAGAGAAGAUUAUGACGGUAUCUAACGAAUAAGCACCGGCUAACUCCGUGCCAGCAGCCGCGGUAAUACGGAGGGUGCAAGCGUUACUCGGAAUCACUGGGCGUAAAGAGUGCGUAGGCGGGGUAGUAAGUCAGAUGUGAAAUCCUGUAGCUUAACUACAGAACUGCAUUUGAAACUGUUACUCUGGAGUGUGGGAGAGGUAGGUGGAAUUCUUGGUGUAGGGGUGAAAUGCGUAGAGAUCAAGAGGAAUACUCAUGGCGAAGGCGACCUGCUGGAACAUUACUGACGCUGAUGCACGAAAGCGUGGGGAGCAAACAGGAUUAGAUACCCCUGUAGUC
RNAcentral lists this ribosomal RNA (440 nucleotides) under uncultured bacterium. Its description in RNAcentral is "partial 16S ribosomal RNA". It matches the Rfam family "Bacterial small subunit ribosomal RNA", at positions 338 to 795 of the family's 1533-position model. The record is from RNAcentral.